GACGAACGCUGGCGGCGUGCUUAACACAUGCAAGUCGAACGGAAAGGCCCUGCUUUUGUGGGGUGCUCGAGUGGCGAACGGGUGAGUAACACGUGAGUAACCUGCUCUUGACUUUGGGAUAACUUCAGGAAACUGGGGCUAAUACCGGAUAGGGGCUCCUGCUGCAUGGUGGGGGUUGGAAAGUUUCGGCGGUUGGGGAUGGACUCGCGGCUUAUCAGCUUGUUGGUGGGGUAGUGGCUUACCAAGGCUUUGACGGGUAGCCGGCCUGAGAGGGUGACCGGCCACAUUGGGACUGAGAUACGGCCCAGACUCCUACGGGAGGCAGCAGUGGGGAAUAUUGCACAAUGGGCGGAAGCCUGAUGCAGCAACGCCGCGUGCGGGAUGACGGCCUUCGGGUUGUAAACCGCUUUCGCCUGUGACGAAGCGUGAGUGACGGUAAUGGGUAAAGAAGCACCGGCUAACUACGUG
This 468-nucleotide ribosomal RNA is filed under the name uncultured bacterium. Its description in RNAcentral is "partial 16S ribosomal RNA". It matches the Rfam family "Bacterial small subunit ribosomal RNA", at positions 28 to 507 of the family's 1533-position model. The record is from RNAcentral.